UCCGGUUUGGCACCGGCAGUCCUCCCAGAGUCCCCGGCAUGAUCCGCUGGCAACUGGGAGCGGGGGUUGCGCUCGUUGCGGGACUUAACCCAACAUCUCACGACACGAGCUGACGACAGCCAUGCAGCACCUGUCCUGCGGCCCCGAAGGGGGCGCCUCCUUUCCGAGGCGUUUCCACAGGAUGUCAAGCCCGGGUAAGGUUCUGCGCGUUGCGUCGAAUUAAACCACAUGCUCCACCGCUUGUGCGGGCCCCCGUCAAUUCCUUUGAGUUUCAGCCUUGCGGCCGUACUCCCCAGGCGGGGCACUUAAUGCGUUAGCGCCGGCACCCAAGGGGUCGCUCCCCCGGGCACCUAGUGCCCAUCGUUUACGGCGUGGACUAC
This 380-nucleotide unclassified non-coding RNA is filed under the name uncultured Gemmatimonadaceae bacterium. RNAcentral's name for it is "contains 16S-23S intergenic spacer region". Lineage: Bacteria; Pseudomonadati; Gemmatimonadota; Gemmatimonadia; Gemmatimonadales; Gemmatimonadaceae. The record is from RNAcentral.